GACGAACGCUGGCGGCGUGCUUAACACAUGCAAGUCGAACGGAAAGGCCCUGCUUUUGUGGGGUGCUCGAGUGGCGAACGGGUGAGUAACACGUGAGUAACCUGCCCUUGACUUUGGGAUAACUUCAGGAAACUGGGUCUAAUACCGGAUAGGAGCUCCUGCUGCAUGGUGGGGGUUGGAAAGUUUCGGCGGUUGGGGAUGGACUCGCGGCUUAUCAGCUUGUUGGUGGGGUAGUGGCUUACCAAGGCUUUGACGGGUAGCCGGCCUGAGAGGGUGACCGGCCACAUUGGGACUGAGAGACGGCCCAGACUCCUACGGGAGGCAGCAGUGGGGAAUAUUGCACAAUGGGCGGAAGCCUGAGGCAGCAACGCCGGGUGCGGGAUGACGGCCUUCGGGUUGUAAACCGCUUUCGCCUGUGACGAAGCGUGAGUGACGGUAAUGGGUAAAGAAGCACCGGCUAACUACGUG
RNAcentral lists this ribosomal RNA (468 nucleotides) under uncultured bacterium. RNAcentral describes it as "partial 16S ribosomal RNA". It matches the Rfam family "Bacterial small subunit ribosomal RNA", at positions 28 to 507 of the family's 1533-position model. The record is from RNAcentral.